Molecule: transfer-messenger RNA, 355 nt
Filed under: Synergistaceae
Lineage: Bacteria; Thermotogati; Synergistota; Synergistia; Synergistales
Also listed under: 2 other names
Description: Syner-03 sp002839185 Standard tmRNA
Rfam family: transfer-messenger RNA
About the family: Bacterial tmRNA, also known as 10Sa RNA or SsrA, is named for its dual tRNA and mRNA-like properties. Its role is to liberate the mRNA from a stalled ribosome. To accomplish this part of the tmRNA is used as a reading frame that ends in a translation stop signal.
Source: RNAcentral
GGGGACGUAUGGUUUCGACAGCAGGUUGGAGGAUCGGGAGGAGCGGGUCGAGGAUGGGGAAUCCUCGUUAAUCCGGCUCCAAAACAAUAAUCGUCAAUAACGAUUACGCACUCGCUGCUUAAGUAAGCGGCGCGCUCUCUAAAGCUUCCGUCAUCGGGCUUUAGAAGAGUGUCACAAAGAUGACUGGAAUCUCUUCAGCGCUUUCUGGGAGAGGUUCGAGACUCUAGGGAAGGCUUGGAAAUGCGGAUCCUGUCUUUGGGAGCCGCAGAUCCGAAAUUAAAACAGAGACUACACUCGUAGUGCCUCCCAGAUUGGCCCCUGUUGGACCGGAGUUCGAAUCUCCGCGUCUCCACCA